This is a long non-coding RNA of Astyanax mexicanus (Mexican tetra), 342 nucleotides long. RefSeq lists it as uncharacterized. The transcript has 2 exons. Lineage: Eukaryota; Metazoa; Chordata; Actinopteri; Characiformes; Acestrorhamphidae. The record is from RefSeq and is a predicted model, not a curated record.
UCCUUCUUGAGCUCGUAGUUGCGGAGAACCCGCAGUAGCUGGACGUCCUGGCUGAGGAAGGCGGGGGGCAGGAGACCAUGAAUUCCCAACUGCAGACGCUCCUCCAGGGAGAACGCCAUGCCCUACAAACAAAGUUUGGGUCUGACCUGCAUACUUAACAACAGCAGCCGCAGCAGCAGCAGCAUCAUAUCUAUGGCUAUUUUCAGACUGAAGCACAAUGGGAUUUGCCUCUUAAAUCAGAUCUAUGAAGAUUACUAUCUGUAAUUUGUUAACACUGUUAUUUCUGAACAGUGAACAGAUCAGAUUUGGGUCAGUAUCAAAAUAACAUGUCUAUUUGCAGUG